RNAcentral lists this ribosomal RNA (416 nucleotides) under Candidatus Williamhamiltonella defendens. RNAcentral describes it as "bacterial SSU rRNA". It matches the Rfam family "Bacterial small subunit ribosomal RNA", at positions 62 to 469 of the family's 1533-position model. Lineage: Bacteria; Pseudomonadati; Pseudomonadota; Gammaproteobacteria; Enterobacterales; Enterobacteriaceae. The record is from RNAcentral.
UCGAGCGGCAUCGAGUGAGCGCAGUUUACUGAGUUCAUGUCGGCGAGCGGCGGACGGGUGAGUAAAGUCUGGGAAUCUGGCCGAAGGAGGGGGAUAACUGCUGGAAACGGCAGCUAAUACCGCAUGAAGUCGCGAGACCAAAGUGGGGGACCUUCGGGCCUCACGCCUUCGGAUGAGCCCAGAUGAGAUUAGCUGGUAGGUAAGGUAAAGGCUUACCUAGGCGACGAUCUCUAGCGGGUCUGAGAGGAUAGCCCGCCACACUGGAACUGAGACACGGUCCAGACUCCUACGGGAGGCAGCAGUGGGGAAUAUUGCACAAUGGGCGAAAGCCUGAUGCAGCCAUGCCACGUGUGUGAAGAAGGCCUUCGGGUUGUAAAGCACUUUCAGCGAGGAGGAAGCGAUAAAUGCCAAUACCA